This 2903-nucleotide ribosomal RNA is filed under the name Klebsiella quasipneumoniae. Its description in RNAcentral is "23S ribosomal RNA". It matches the Rfam family "Bacterial large subunit ribosomal RNA". The record is from RNAcentral. Lineage: Bacteria; Pseudomonadati; Pseudomonadota; Gammaproteobacteria; Enterobacterales; Enterobacteriaceae.
GGUUAAGCGACUAAGCGUACACGGUGGAUGCCCUGGCAGUCAGAGGCGAUGAAGGACGUGCUAAUCUGCGAAAAGCGUCGGUAAGGUGAUAUGAACCGUUAUAACCGGCGAUGUCCGAAUGGGGAAACCCAGUGUGAUUCGUCACACUAUCGUUAACUGAAUACAUAGGUUAACGAGGCGAACCGGGGGAACUGAAACAUCUAAGUACCCCGAGGAAAAGAAAUCAACCGAGAUUCCCCCAGUAGCGGCGAGCGAACGGGGAGCAGCCCAGAGUCUGAAUCAGCUUGUGUGUUAGUGGAACGGUCUGGAAAGUCCGACGGUACAGGGUGAUAGUCCCGUACACCAAAAUGCACAGGCUGUGAACUCGAAGAGUAGGGCGGGACACGUGGUAUCCUGUCUGAAUAUGGGGGGACCAUCCUCCAAGGCUAAAUACUCCUGACUGACCGAUAGUGAACCAGUACCGUGAGGGAAAGGCGAAAAGAACCCCGGCGAGGGGAGUGAAAAAGAACCUGAAACCGUGUACGUACAAGCAGUGGGAGCACCUUUAUGGUGUGACUGCGUACCUUUUGUAUAAUGGGUCAGCGACUUAUAUUCUGUAGCAAGGUUAACCGUAUAGGGGAGCCGCAGGGAAACCGAGUCUUAACUGGGCGUUAAGUUGCAGGGUAUAGACCCGAAACCCGGUGAUCUAGCCAUGGGCAGGUUGAAGGUUGGGUAACACUAACUGGAGGACCGAACCGACUAAUGUUGAAAAAUUAGCGGAUGACUUGUGGCUGGGGGUGAAAGGCCAAUCAAACCGGGAGAUAGCUGGUUCUCCCCGAAAGCUAUUUAGGUAGCGCCUCGUGAAUUCAUCUUCGGGGGUAGAGCACUGUUUCGGCUAGGGGUCAUCCCGACUUACCAACCCGAUGCAAACUACGAAUACCGAAGAAUGUUAUCACGGGAGACACACGGCGGGUGCUAACGUCCGUCGUGAAGAGGGAAACAACCCAGACCGCCAGCUAAGGUCCCAAAGUCAUGGUUAAGUGGGAAACGAUGUGGGAAGGCACAGACAGCCAGGAUGUUGGCUUAGAAGCAGCCAUCAUUUAAAGAAAGCGUAAUAGCUCACUGGUCGAGUCGGCCUGCGCGGAAGAUGUAACGGGGCUAAACCAUGCACCGAAGCUGCGGCAGCGACGCUUAUGCGUUGUUGGGUAGGGGAGCGUUCUGUAAGCCUGCGAAGGUGACCUGUGAGGGUUGCUGGAGGUAUCAGAAGUGCGAAUGCUGACAUAAGUAACGAUAAAGCGGGUGAAAAGCCCGCUCGCCGGAAGACCAAGGGUUCCUGUCCAACGUUAAUCGGGGCAGGGUGAGUCGACCCCUAAGGCGAGGCCGAAAGGCGUAGUCGAUGGGAAACAGGUUAAUAUUCCUGUACUUGGUGUUACUGCGAAGGGGGGACGGAGAAGGCUAUGUUAGCCGGGCGACGGUUGUCCCGGUUUAAGCAUGUAGGCUGGUUAUCCAGGCAAAUCCGGAUAAUCAAGGCUGAGGUGUGAUGACGAGGCACUACGGUGCUGAAGUAACAAAUGCCCUGCUUCCAGGAAAAGCCUCUAAGCAUCAGGUAACACGAAAUCGUACCCCAAACCGACACAGGUGGUCAGGUAGAGAAUACCAAGGCGCUUGAGAGAACUCGGGUGAAGGAACUAGGCAAAAUGGUGCCGUAACUUCGGGAGAAGGCACGCUGGUGUGUAGGUGAAGUCCCUGCGGAUGGAGCUGAGACCAGUCGAAGAUACCAGCUGGCUGCAACUGUUUAUUAAAAACACAGCACUGUGCAAACACGAAAGUGGACGUAUACGGUGUGACGCCUGCCCGGUGCCGGAAGGUUAAUUGAUGGGGUUAUCCGUAAGGAGAAGCUCUUGAUCGAAGCCCCGGUAAACGGCGGCCGUAACUAUAACGGUCCUAAGGUAGCGAAAUUCCUUGUCGGGUAAGUUCCGACCUGCACGAAUGGCGUAAUGAUGGCCAGGCUGUCUCCACCCGAGACUCAGUGAAAUUGAACUCGCUGUGAAGAUGCAGUGUACCCGCGGCAAGACGGAAAGACCCCGUGAACCUUUACUAUAGCUUGACACUGAACAUUGAGCCUUGAUGUGUAGGAUAGGUGGGAGGCUUUGAAGCGUGGACGCCAGUCUGCGUGGAGCCAACCUUGAAAUACCACCCUUUAAUGUUUGAUGUUCUAACGUUGGCCCCUGACCGGGGUUGCGGACAGUGUCUGGUGGGUAGUUUGACUGGGGCGGUCUCCUCCCAAAGCGUAACGGAGGAGCACGAAGGUUAGCUAAUCCUGGUCGGACAUCAGGAGGUUAGUGCAAUGGCAUAAGCUAGCUUGACUGCGAGCGUGACGGCGCGAGCAGGUGCGAAAGCAGGUCAUAGUGAUCCGGUGGUUCUGAAUGGAAGGGCCAUCGCUCAACGGAUAAAAGGUACUCCGGGGAUAACAGGCUGAUACCGCCCAAGAGUUCAUAUCGACGGCGGUGUUUGGCACCUCGAUGUCGGCUCAUCACAUCCUGGGGCUGAAGUAGGUCCCAAGGGUAUGGCUGUUCGCCAUUUAAAGUGGUACGCGAGCUGGGUUUAGAACGUCGUGAGACAGUUCGGUCCCUAUCUGCCGUGGGCGCUGGAGAAUUGAGGGGGGCUGCUCCUAGUACGAGAGGACCGGAGUGGACGCAUCACUGGUGUUCGGGUUGUCAUGCCAAUGGCACUGCCCGGUAGCUAAAUGCGGAAGAGAUAAGUGCUGAAAGCAUCUAAGCACGAAACUUGCCCCGAGAUGAGUUCUCCCUGAGACUUUAAGUCUCCUGAAGGAACGUUAAAGACGAUGACGUUGAUAGGCCGGGUGUGUAAGCGCAGCGAUGCGUUGAGCUAACCGGUACUAAUGAACCGUGAGGCUUAACCUU